RNAcentral lists this ribosomal RNA (820 nucleotides) under uncultured organism. Its description in RNAcentral is "bacterial SSU rRNA". It matches the Rfam family "Bacterial small subunit ribosomal RNA", at positions 16 to 879 of the family's 1533-position model. The record is from RNAcentral.
AUCCUGGCUCAGGAUGAACGCUGGCGGUCUGCUUAACACAUGCAAGUCGAACGCAACCUUCGGGUUGAGUGGCGGACGGGUGAGUAACGCGUGAGAAUCUGCCUUGGGGUCGGGGACAACCACUGGAAACGGUGGCUAAUACCGGAUAAGCCUUUGGGUAAAAGAUUUAUUGCCCCAAGAGGAGCUCGCGUCUGAUUAGCUAGUUGGUGAGGUAAAAGCUCACCAAGGCAGCGAUCAGUAGCUGGUCUGAGAGGACGAUCAGCCACACUGGGACUGAGACACGGCCCAGACUCCUACGGGAGGCAGCAGUGGGGAAUUUUCCGCAAUGGGCGAAAGCCUGACGGAGCAAGACCGCGUGAGGGAGGAAGGCUCUUGGGUUGUAAACCUCUUUUCUCAGGGAAGAAGCUCUGACGGUACCUGAGGAAUCAGCCUCGGCUAACUCCGUGCCAGCAGCCGCGGUAAUACGGAGGAGGCAAGCGUUAUCCGGAAUUAUUGGGCGUAAAGCGUCCGCAGGUGGCGAUUCAAGUCUGCUGUCAAAGCACGGGGCUUAACUCCGUUAAGGCAGUGGAAACUGAAUAGCUAGAGUGCCGUAGGGGUAGAGGGAAUUCCCGGUGUAGCGGUGAAAUGCGUAGAGAUCGGGAAGAACAUCGGUGGCGAAAGCGCUCUACUGGACGGCAACUUGACACUCAGGGACGAAAGCUAGGGGAGCGAAUGGGAUUAGAUACCCCAGUAGUCCUAGCUGUAAACGAUGGAUACUAGGUGUAGCUUGUAUCGACCCGAGCUGUGCCGAAGCUAACGCGUUAAGUAUCCCGGCUGGGGA